CCGGGGCCCGGGAACAAAGCGCGCCCUCCCCCAUCUCGGGAGCGCGCUGUGGGACCUUCAGGCGCCCCGGGCUGGGAGGCUUAAGACCACCGCGAAUCUGCUGGCCCCCAACCUCUGUGGACCGGACCCCUGGGGUCGGGGUGACAGCUGCGCGCUACUGAGCCACCUUCCCGGCCCCCCGAAGAUCACUCCCGCUCUCCCCAUCCCUACCCCCAUCGCGGAGGUGUCACUGGGGCCGGAGCACGGCCAGAUGGCCCCAUUUAACAGGACUGUCCCCUUUUGUUGGGGGCUGAAGCAGCGUCCAGGCCGAUUUACAUAGGAAAAUGGGGUUUGUGUCCCCGAUUCAGUGCAGUGCCCCGACAGCUGGUGGCUCUGUCAUCAUGUCAGGACCCCACAGCAUGAUGUUUAAAGUGGCUUUAUGUGUGCAGAUGUGUGAGUGUGAAUAGCAAUUGAUUGCGAAGCGGUGGCUGUUAGGUCCAGCCUGGAGAAACUCGGUUCACGGAGGAAAUUCGAUCAGCCUGGCCACAGCAUACGAUCAUAGACUGGAAAAGUCUCGCCAAAGACUUCUAAUGCUCUCUUCCGGAACUGACAGCUUAUCAUUUUAUCCAGAAAUCUAAAAAGCCAAAUCGUUUGGAUCUAAGGAGCAUUUUGAAAUCCUUACUCUUUACACUUUUGGUCUUUGUUUGUAAAAGUUGUGAGUCUGAACGUAAAAAGUCAUAAGGAGGACUGUUAGGAGUUAAAAAACAAUUAUUGGUGAGAGAUCUAAGCUAAUUCAUUUUAUUAAACUACCUUAACUCAGAUGGUUUGUGUGGCUGCUCCAGCCUGUAGCAGGCUGAGAGUUGUCAUUAGUUUGGAAAUCGGUAGUUUAAACGUGUGCAGUUAGGUGACAGAUGAUUAGAACAGGGAGGAAGUCCUGUUCUCAUUUUACCAGCGAGGGUUGAAUCUCAGAGAGGUUACGUGAUUUUCCCAAGAUCAUACAACUCUGGAAUAUGAUCUCAACCGUUCGAAUCCAUAAAAGAUGAAGGAAAGAGAAGCCUUAAGACGGUAGAUUUAGGAGCCCUUGAAAAUACCUUAAUCCAGAACCUCUCAAACCUUUCCGCCAGUCUGCUGGAGCCACCAACAGGCAGCAGCUUGAAAUUUCCUGGUGACACCUGCCGUUGAGACCCCGGCUUCGAGAAUCCAUUAAUUCUUCUCCAUCUGCUUGGAUCGAUAGCUUAGGCAACCCUGGGCAUCAUGGUUUUGUGCACCCCAGAGCCACCUUCCUCCUGAAACAUCGUGUAAAAAUCUGGGACAAUGCUAACAGAGCAAACAGCAUUUAUUCUCUUUAUAGUCAAUGGCAAAUGGUUAUAUUUGUUAAUAGUGUUAUAUUUCUUUCAAAUAUUAUACCUUAAAAUUUAUAAAGGUCUUUCCAAUAAAUUAACGCAAUUUCUCACCCCA
RNAcentral lists this long non-coding RNA (1437 nucleotides) under Equus asinus (donkey). RNAcentral's name for it is "lncRNA (ENSEASG00005025258.1)". Lineage: Eukaryota; Metazoa; Chordata; Mammalia; Perissodactyla; Equidae. The record is from RNAcentral.